CAGUCGCCGCGGUAAUACGUAGGGUGCGAGCGUUAAUAGGAAUUACUGGGCGUAAAGCGUGCGCAGGCGGUUCGUUAAGACAGAUGUGAAAUCCCCGGGCUUAACCUGGGAACUGCAUUUGUGACUGGCGAGCUAGAGUAUGGCAGAGGGGGGUAGAAUUCCACGUGUAGCAGUGAAAUGCGUAGAGAUGUGGAGGAAUACCGAUGGCGAAGGCAGCCCCCUGGGCCAAUACUGACGCUCAUGCACGAAAGCGUGGGGAGCAAACAGGAUUAGAUACCCGAGUAGUCCCUGUCUCUUAUAC
This 301-nucleotide ribosomal RNA is filed under the name uncultured bacterium. RNAcentral describes it as "partial 16S ribosomal RNA". It matches the Rfam family "Bacterial small subunit ribosomal RNA", at positions 509 to 807 of the family's 1533-position model. The record is from RNAcentral.